UCCAACCAUCCAAUUUCAAACCCUAAUUUCUCAUCGAGAACAACAAUCAAUCCCAAAAAUGUUGCGACACGCUGCUAAGAGAAUCACAAGGUCAGGAUUAGCCCCGACACGGUGGUCUGCACCGGCGGCGGACCUGUUUUAUCAUGAGAGGGUUGUGGACCACUACAAUAAUCCCCGUAAUGUUGGUGCGUUUGACAAGAACUAGGGUUAGAAUUAACGUCGCCGCCACUGUCUCUACCACAUCCGCUGAAGCAGAACCCUAGAGUUUGGUAGCAAAUGAAGAGUUUUCUCCAAAGGCUUGAGGAUGUACUAAUUAAUAAUCAUACGUUCGGAAGAGUUGAUGUGCAGUUCAAAGAUGAAAAGAAACUGUAGCGAAACAGAGUGAUGGUUCCUCAAGCCCUUUAGAUUUUUGAAUCAGGUUGGCUGCAGGAGCAGGCCUCCAUUGUUUCAAAAAGAGAAUGGAGCUCAAUGGGAAGUCGCCCUCUUUGUGCUGGUGGUGGAAUGUGGACUAUGACUUUUCCUAAGUCAAAAUCAGACAAAUAUUGGGCUUACAUGUUUGAUCAUGGAGAUGAGAUAUGCGAGGCAGUCGUUAUGUGAGGCCAAGAUUGCUGCAAAUAAUUAAAAGAAGUCAAUAAAGGAUGAAAGUUUCCAUUACGCUAUGAAGACCUUGACUACCAAUGCCAACUACAUAGUAGACAGCAAGAAUAAACAUGUAAGCGUAUUUAUAAUUAAUUUCUCAUUAACAUAAUUUUACGACAAGAUUUGAAAGGGGUGCUACUGAGGUAGUCCGAUCUCUUACUACAUUGAGGUAAAAACUCUUGAGAUAAAAAGUAAAAACUAUGAUUGUAGUUAUAGUGUGUUGUAUAUGGGUGUAAAAAGUUGAGCUAAGUUAAAAGCGUAAGUCACUUGAAUCUCCCUACAAGGUUCAAAUUUUAUUUUUGAAUGAUAUCUGGCUAAGAAAGAAGUUAUCCAUAUUUGUGUGAAAAAGAAGUUAUCCAUAUUUGUGUGAAAAUUUUAACAAAUUUGUUUUGUACUCAUGCUAUGGUAGUUUAUGUUUUUUUUUCAAAUAUAUAUUAGAUUUAAACU
This 1086-nucleotide long non-coding RNA is filed under the name Helianthus annuus (common sunflower). Lineage: Eukaryota; Viridiplantae; Streptophyta; Magnoliopsida; Asterales; Asteraceae. The record is from RNAcentral.